UUACUAUGCAUUUAUAUUUUCCUAGAUGCUGUUUAAGCAUUUUUUCCCCAGCAAGUCUGGGGUUUGAAACUACAUAAGUCUCUCUUGUAAUAUACUUUCCUGGCACCAACUUCAUUUUUACAGGACACAUUAGGGUCUUAGUGCAUGAUGGUGAACCACAGGCAAACUUCUGGUACAUGAACAAGUUUUGCCUGAUAUGCAUCUAUCUAUG
Long non-coding RNA from Dermochelys coriacea (leatherback sea turtle), 211 nucleotides. RefSeq lists it as uncharacterized. NCBI's taxonomy places the organism in Eukaryota, Metazoa, Chordata, Testudines, Dermochelyidae. The record is from RefSeq and is a predicted model, not a curated record. The transcript is spliced from 2 exons.